RNAcentral lists this ribosomal RNA (468 nucleotides) under uncultured bacterium. Its description in RNAcentral is "partial 16S ribosomal RNA". It matches the Rfam family "Bacterial small subunit ribosomal RNA", at positions 28 to 507 of the family's 1533-position model. The record is from RNAcentral.
GACGAACGCUGGCGGCGUGCUUAACACAUGCAAGUCGAACGGACAGGCGCUGCUUUUGUGGGGUUCUCGAGUGCCGAACGGGUGAGUAACACGUGAGUAACCUGCCCUUGUCUUUGGGAUAACUUCAGGAGACUGCGGCUAAUAUCGGAUAGGAGCUCCUGCUGCAUGGUGUGGGUUGGUAAAAUUCGGCGGUUGUGGAUGGACUCGCUGCUUAUCAGCUUGUUGGUGGGGUAGUGGCUUACCAAGGCUUUGAAGGGUAGCCGGCCUGAGAGGGUGACCGGCGACAUUGGGACUGAGAUACGGCCCAGACGCCUACGGGAGGCAGAAGUGGGGAAUAUUACACAAUGGGCGGAAGCCUGAUGCAGCAACGCCGCGUGCGGGAUGACGGCCUUCGGGUUGUAAACCGCUUUCGCCUGUGACGAAGCGUGAGUGACGGUAAUGGGUAAAGAAGCACCGGCUAACUACGUG